AAGUCGUAACAAGGUUUCCGUAGGUGAACCUGCGGAAGGAUCAUUAACACGUAUCCAACGUUAAAAACACCCCUGUGAACCUUUCGGCUCAUGGAAGCGUAAGGAGACGCUGUAACGUUUUGCUGUAGGCCCACACGGCCGGCAAUCCAAGUGGUUGUACUUCGGUACCCUCACAUCGGCACACCACCGAUGAUAUGUCGAUUUCGCGAAUGGACUAAAAGCCUCGCACCAAAAACCGAACAACUGUUAACAAUGGAUAUCUUGGUUCUC
This 270-nucleotide unclassified non-coding RNA is filed under the name fungal sp. RNAcentral describes it as "partial internal transcribed spacer region". The stretch from base 1 to 46 matches the Rfam family "Eukaryotic small subunit ribosomal RNA", at positions 1786 to 1831 of the family's 1831-position model. The record is from RNAcentral. Lineage: Eukaryota; Fungi.